CUUCUCUGGAUGUCUUGUAGAAUUCAAAAAAUAUGGAAGGCUUCACAAAUUUGUGUGUCAUCCUUGCACAGGGGCCAUGCUAAUCUUCUCUGUAUCGUUCCAAUUUUAGUAUAUGUGCUGCCAAAGCGAGCACCAUCUUCCUCUUCCAAGGAUUGAGUUCAGGCUGCACCAGGAAACCAACAGGGACACAAGAGGCUCUGCUGCCCUGAGAAUCACCCUUCCCUGUUCAAAGGCACUGAGAACCAUCUCUCCCCAGACUGCACCAUGGAAAAUGCCCCCUCCCACCAUAUAGGAGAUGCAGAGUGGGACAGGCCCAUCAGAUGAUCAACCCAAAUAGGAUACAAAAUGGAACAUACACCACAAAUACAACUUUGCAGAAAUAUAUCUGCCAAUAGACUAACACCAGAAAUGAGCUGAGAAUGAAAAAAGAAACAAAGCUGAAAAUUGAUCCUAUUUGUUUCAAAGUCAAGUUUGCCCUCUUUCAGCUGAAGACACCAACGAGGCAGCGUAAGGUCCCUCCUUCCACUUGUGGGUGGCGUAGAUUCAGAAGGAAAAUACUGUCCCUGGAACUCUCUAAAUGUCCAUUUCACCUGUUAACCAGUGAGAUCUGCUCUGACAUUGGGUCUGUAUUUCUGAGAGAUUUUUAAAAGAAGGAUGGUGGAGACUUCACAUUUCAAAUCACCAGAAAACAUCUCCAAGCUUGCACUGGGAGAAGCCAAGAUGCAGCACCUUUGAAAGGGACCCGGCCAUUAGUGUUGGGAGGGUCUGACCUUGCAUGGGCCAGGAAUAUGACCAGAGUCUGAUGCUGAGCUUUUCAGAUCAAAAAUUCACAUUAUUUCCAGAACAACCAGAUGGCUCUGUGAUGAGUGACAGAUGCUAACUAUAGGGAUGAUACCCUCAUAUACCCCGAAUAGUUCUUACAUUGGAAUAAGGUGAUCAACUUCCUUUACUGGGAAGCUGUUGGUAUAACUGGGAUUCUUACAUUGUUGAAUGCACAGAUUGGCAAAAGCCCCUCACCCACUUAUUACCACAAUCCUUACUGUAAAGUAACAGACUGAUCUUUUCUCUUGUGUGCUAGACUUUUGCAAAUUUAAUUAGCAAAAAGCCAUCCCUGAGAGACUGAGCUAGACUUGUAAAGAAGAAAUAAAGUACUUGACCUGUAAAGCUUGAGUCCUAUAGGUAGUAUGAGAUGCUAACCAGGGAGCUACCCUUGAUAUAUGGAGUCAAAUAAUUGAACUGGAAAGCACCCAACCACCACCUGCAAAAUAGGCCAGUGAGUCUGGGGUGCAUUAGAAACACUUGGAUGUGGAGGUAUAACCAAAGGUGCGGUUAGAAGAGUAGGUGAGAGCACAUCACAGAAAGCCUGGAAACUGAUUUGGUUUGCAUGUUGGGGCACUGGGUGUAUGUUAGCAGAGAAUUACAUAAAAGCAAUUUUCUACUUGAGGAUAAACUCUUUGAGAGACAAGAUGAAAAUUAGAUUGGGUUAGGAAGCAGGGGACCAAUUAUAAGUUUGCUAUAAUAGUACAUGGAGGAGAAGUGAGCUAGGAGUGAAAGAUCUGCCCUAGGAGACAUUUCUGCGGCUCAGGGCCAUACUGAUACUCCUUCAUUCUUUCCUUGUAACAGUUUAAAAGGAGCAGCUGCCUGGGAGGAGACACCCUGCUCUUCCUGGAUUUCUCUGUGUUGUUCAUAAUGAUUUUCAGAAGGCUGCCCUCUUUUCAUAAAGAAGAGCACAGUGGACCCCCUCAGUGAUUGCUUUCCGAGGAAACUGAGCAGAAGGAGGAGGGAGGCCGCUGACAUCUGCAUGACGGACUUGGAAAAGGUCCAGGAAAAGCCAGAGGAUCCCGUGGUGAGGGUUUUCACUUCCAGCCCCUUUCACCUUUGGCGCUGUCCUCCUGGUUCCUGGCAAGCAGUGGAUGAACAGUUCCCGGGUCUCCUGAAGGCUCUUGGACAGCAGUUCGCACUGCUCCGCUA
Chinchilla lanigera (long-tailed chinchilla) is the source of this 1971-nucleotide long non-coding RNA. RefSeq lists it as uncharacterized. The record is from RefSeq and is a predicted model, not a curated record. The transcript is spliced from 4 exons. NCBI's taxonomy places the organism in Eukaryota, Metazoa, Chordata, Mammalia, Rodentia, Chinchillidae.